AUAUCAAUAAGCGGAGGAAAAGAAACCAACAGGGAUUGCCUUAGUAACGGCGAGUGAAGCGGCAAAAGCUCAAAUUUGAAAUCUAGCACCUUCGGUGUUCGAGUUGUAAUUUGAAGAAGGUAACCUUGGGAUUGGCUCUUGUCUAUGUUUCUUGGAACAGAACGUCACAGAGGGUGAGAAUCCCGUGCGAUGAGAUGACCAAUUCUAUGUAAGGUGCUUUCGAAGAGUCGAGUUGUUUGGGAAUGCAGCUCUAAGUGGGUGGUAAAUUCCAUCUAAAGCUAAAUAUUGGCGAGAGACCGAUAGCGAACAAGUACAGUGAUGGAAAGAUGAAAAGAACUUUGAAAAGAGAGUGAAAAAGUACGUGAAAUUGUUGAAAGGGAAGGGUAUGAGAUCAGACUUGGUGUUUUGCAACCUUAUCUUCGGAUGGGGCCCCUGCAGUUCAUCGGGCCAGCAUCAGUUUGGACGGUAGGAUAAUGACAUUGGAAUGUGACUUGGCUUCGGUUAAGUGUUAUAGCCCUUGUUGAUACUGCCUGUCUAGACUGAGGACUGCGUCUUUGACUAGGAUGCUGGCAUAAUGAUCCUAUACCGC
RNAcentral lists this ribosomal RNA (589 nucleotides) under Suzukiozyma pseudoglaebosa. RNAcentral describes it as "eukaryotic LSU rRNA". It matches the Rfam family "Eukaryotic large subunit ribosomal RNA", at positions 40 to 648 of the family's 3401-position model. Lineage: Eukaryota; Fungi; Ascomycota; Pichiomycetes; Serinales; Debaryomycetaceae. The record is from RNAcentral.